This 221-nucleotide long non-coding RNA is filed under the name Elaeis guineensis (African oil palm). Its description in RNAcentral is "long non-coding RNA (EGUI_LNC057423)". Lineage: Eukaryota; Viridiplantae; Streptophyta; Magnoliopsida; Arecales; Arecaceae. The record is from RNAcentral.
CUAUCGAUCGACCUUCUGUUGGAUUCCUCAUGCAACUGGACCUCUCCAGCAAACAAUCUUCAAACUAGCUUUUACAUCAGAUAAAUUUCAGAUAGACUUCUCUAGCAAUCGAACUCCAAUCGGAUUUCUCUAACAGAAAGUUUUCAUCCGGAUUUCUAUAGCAAAUGAUUUUCGUCUGCGGCAUCAACGCUUAAGGCACCCAAUAACGUCUGGGCUUCCAC